This 74-nucleotide transfer RNA is filed under the name Podarcis lilfordi (Lilford's wall lizard). Its description in RNAcentral is "tRNA.Ile". The record is from RNAcentral. Lineage: Eukaryota; Metazoa; Chordata; Lepidosauria; Squamata; Lacertidae.
GCCUGGCUAGCUCAGCUGGUUAGAGCGUAGUGCUAAUAAUACCAAGGUUGCAGGUUCAAUCCCCAUAUGGGACA